Molecule: ribosomal RNA, 253 nt
Filed under: uncultured bacterium
Lineage: Bacteria
Description: partial 16S ribosomal RNA
Rfam family: Bacterial small subunit ribosomal RNA
Source: RNAcentral
UACGGAGGGUGCAAGCGUUGCUCGGAAUGACUGGGCGUAAAGCGCACGCAGGCGGAUUGUUAAGUCAGAUGUGAAAUCCCCGGGCUCAACCUGGGAACUGCAUCUGAUACUGGCAAGCUUGAGUCUCGUAGAGGGGGGUAGAAUUCCAGGUGUAGAGGUGAAAUGCGUAGAUAUCUGGAGGAACACCGGUGGCGAAGGCGGCGCCCUGGACGAAGACUGACGCUGAGGUGCGAAAGCGUGGGGAGCAAACAGG